Molecule: transfer RNA, 71 nt
Filed under: Marmota marmota marmota (Alpine marmot)
Lineage: Eukaryota; Metazoa; Chordata; Mammalia; Rodentia; Sciuridae
Also listed under: 1 other name
Rfam family: tRNA
About the family: Transfer RNA (tRNA) molecules are approximately 80 nucleotides in length. Their secondary structure includes four short double-helical elements and three loops (D, anti-codon, and T loops).
Source: Rfam by way of RNAcentral
GUGGCUGUGGCUCAGCGGUAGAGCGCUCGCCUAGCAUGUGUGAGGUGCUGGGUUCUAUCCUCAGCACCACA